This 647-nucleotide non-coding RNA is filed under the name Lachnoclostridium sp. An131. Its description in RNAcentral is "Bacterial large subunit ribosomal RNA". It matches the Rfam family "Bacterial large subunit ribosomal RNA", at positions 1631 to 2289 of the family's 2925-position model. Lineage: Bacteria; Bacillati; Bacillota; Clostridia; Lachnospirales; Lachnospiraceae. The record is from Rfam by way of RNAcentral.
UUAUACAGUACCCGUACCGUAAACCGACACAGGUAGAUGAGGAGAGAAUCCUAAGGCCGACGGAAGAAGCAUUGUUAAGGAACUCGGCAAAAUGACCCCGUAACUUCGGGAGAAGGGGUGCCUGCGAGAGCAGGCCGCAGAGAAUAGGCUCAAGCAACUGUUUAGCAAAAACACAGGUCUAUGCGAAACCGAAAGGUGAGGUAUAUGGGCUGACGCCUGCCCGGUGCUGGAAGGUUAAGGGGAGGGCUUAGCGCAAGCGAAGGUCUGAACUUAAGCCCCAGUAAACGGCGGCCGUAACUAUAACGGUCCUAAGGUAGCGAAAUUCCUUGUCGGGUAAGUUCCGACCCGCACGAAAGGCGUAAUGAUUUGAGCGCUGUCUCGACAAUGCAUCCGGUGAAAUUGAAGUACCAGUGAAGAUGCUGGUUACCCGCGCCAGGACGGAAAGACCCCAUGGAGCUUUACUCCAGCUUGAUACUGGGAUUCGGUAUUGCAUGUACAGGAUAGGUGGGAGGCUUUGAAGGAAUGACGCCAGUUGUUCUGGAGCCGCUGUUGGGAUACCACCCUUGCAGUAUUGGGUUUCUAACCAGCCGCCGUGAUCCGGCGGUGGGACAAUGUCAGGCGGGGAGUUUGACUGGGGCGGUCGCCUC